UUCCGUAGGUGAACCUGAACCUGCGGAGGGAUCAUUACCGAGUUUACAACUCCCAAACCCCUGUGAACAUACCAAUUGUUGCCUCGGCGGAUCAGCCCGCUCCCGGUAAAACGGGACGGCCCGCCAGAGGACCCCUAAACUCUGUUUCUAUAUGUAACUUCUGAGUAAAACCAUAAAUAAAUCAAAACUUUCAACAACGGAUCUUUUGGUUCUGGCAUCGAUGAAGAACGCAGCAAAAUGCGAUAAGUAAUGUGAAUUGCAGAAUUCAGUGAAUCAUCGAAUCUUUGAACGCACAUUGCGCCCGCCAGUAUUCUGGCGGGCAUGCCUGUUCGAGCGUCAUUUCAACCCUCAAGCCCCCGGGUUUGGUGUUGGGGAUUGGCGAGCCCUCGCGGCAAGCCGGCCCCGAAAUCUAGUGGCGGUCUCGCUGCAGCUUCCAUUGCGUAGUAGUAAAACCCUCGCAACUGGUACGCGGCGCGGCCAAGCCGUUAAACCCCCAAACU
Molecule: ribosomal RNA, 500 nt
Filed under: Fusarium sp. 2031
Lineage: Eukaryota; Fungi; Ascomycota; Sordariomycetes; Hypocreales; Nectriaceae
Description: eukaryotic LSU rRNA
Rfam family: 5.8S ribosomal RNA (bases 186-339)
Source: RNAcentral